AAUAUGACGCAGCCAUCACAGGUCACAUUGAUAUGAUAUAGCCCGCCCGCAGAUCAUCUAAUGAUCUUUCCGUAGGUGAACCUGCGGAAGGAUCAUUA
Molecule: ribosomal RNA, 98 nt
Filed under: Cutaneotrichosporon curvatum
Lineage: Eukaryota; Fungi; Basidiomycota; Tremellomycetes; Trichosporonales; Trichosporonaceae
Description: partial 18S ribosomal RNA
Source: RNAcentral